Molecule: ribosomal RNA, 689 nt
Filed under: uncultured archaeon
Lineage: Archaea
Description: bacterial SSU rRNA
Rfam family: Archaeal small subunit ribosomal RNA
Source: RNAcentral
CAGACCGCGAUAACCUCCGGGAAACUGAGGCCAAUAGCGGAUACAGCUCUCAUGCUGGAGUGCCGAGAGCUGGAAACGUUCCGGCGCUGUAGGAUGUGGCUGCGGCCGAUUAGGUAGAUGGUGGGGUAACGGCCCACCAUGCCGAUAAUCGGUACAGGUUGUGAGAGCAAGAGCCUGGAGACGGUAUCUGAGACAAGAUACCGGGCCCUACGGGGCGCAGCAGGCGCGAAACCUUUACACUGCACGACAGUGCGAUAGGGGGACUCCGAGUGUGAGGGCAUAUAGCCCUCGCUUUUCUGUACCGUAAGGUGGUACAGGAAUAAGGACUGGGCAAGACCGGUGCCAGCCGCCGCGGUAAUACCGGCAGUCCAAGUGAUGGCCGAUAUUAUUGGGCCUAAAGCGUCCGUAGCCUGCUGUGUAAGUCCAUUGGGAAAUCGACCAGCUCAACUGGUCGACGUCCGGUGGAAACUACACAGCUUGGGGCCGAGAGACUCGACGGGUACGUCCGGGGUAGGAGUGAAAUCCUGUAAUCCUGGACGGACCACCAAUGGCGAAAGCACGUCGAGAGACCGGACCCGACGGUGAGGGACGAAAGCCAGGGUCUCGAACCGGAUUAGAUACCCGGGUAGUCCUGGCUGUAAACAAUGCUCGCUAGGUAUGUCACGCGCCAUGAGCACGUGAUGUGCCGU